RNAcentral lists this ribosomal RNA (1435 nucleotides) under uncultured organism. RNAcentral's name for it is "16S ribosomal RNA". It matches the Rfam family "Bacterial small subunit ribosomal RNA". The record is from RNAcentral.
CAGGCUUAACACAUGCAAGUCGAGGGGCAUCAGGAAGAAAGCUUGCUUUCUUUGCUGGCGACCGGCGCACGGGUGAGUAACACGUAUCCAACCUGCCCUUUACUCGGGGAUAGCCUUUCGAAAGAAAGAUUAAUACCCGAUGGCAUAAUGAUUCCGCAUGGUUUCAUUAUUAAAGGAUUCCGGUAAAGGAUGGGGAUGCGUUCCAUUAGGUUGUUGGUGGGGUAACGGCCCACCAAGCCUUCGAUGGAUAGGGGUUCUGAGAGGAAGGUCCCCCACAUUGGAACUGAGACACGGUCCAAACUCCUACGGGAGGCAGCAGUGAGGAAUAUUGGUCAAUGGGCGCUAGCCUGAACCAGCCAAGUAGCGUGAAGGAUGAAGGCUCUAUGGGUCGUAAACUUCUUUUAUAUAAGAAUAAAGUGCAGUAUGUAUACUGUUUUGUAUGUAUUAUAUGAAUAAGGAUCGGCUAACUCCGUGCCAGCAGCCGCGGUAAUACGGAGGAUCCGAGCGUUAUCCGGAUUUAUUGGGUUUAAAGGGAGCGUAGGUGGACUGGUAAGUCAGUUGUGAAAGUUUGCGGCUCAACCGUAAAAUUGCAGUUGAUACUGUCAGUCUUGAGUACAGUAGAGGUGGGCGGAAUUCGUGGUAUAGCGGUGAAAUGCUUAGAUAUCACGAAGAACUCCGAUUGCGAAGGCAGCUCACUGGACUGCAACUGACACUGAUGCUCGAAAGUGUGGGUAUCAAACAGGAUUAGAUACCCUGGUAGUCCACACAGUAAACGAUGAAUACUCGCUGUUUGCGAUAUACAGUAAGCGGCCAAGCGAAAGCAUUAAGUAUUCCACCUGGGGAGUACGCCGGCAACGGUGAAACUCAAAGGAAUUGACGGGGGCCCGCACAAGCGGAGGAACAUGUGGUUUAAUUCGAUGAUACGCGAGGAACCUUACCCGGGCUUAAAUUGCAGUGGAAUGAUGUGGAAACAUGUCAGUGAGCAAUCACCGCUGUGAAGGUGCUGCAUGGUUGUCGUCAGCUCGUGCCGUGAGGUGUCGGCUUAAGUGCCAUAACGAGCGCAACCCUUAUCUUUAGUUACUAACAGGUCAUGCUGAGGACUCUAGAGAGACUGCCGUCGUAAGAUGUGAGGAAGGUGGGGAUGACGUCAAAUCAGCACGGCCCUUACGUCCGGGGCUACACACGUGUUACAAUGGGGGGUACAGAAGGCAGCUAGCGGGUGACCGUAUGCUAAUCCCAAAAUCCUCUCUCAGUUCGGAUCGAAGUCUGCAACCCGACUUCGUGAAGCUGGAUUCGCUAGUAAUCGCGCAUCAGCCACGGCGCGGUGAAUACGUUCCCGGGCCUUGUACACACCGCCCGUCAAGCCAUGGGAGCCGGGGGUACCUGAAGUACGUAACCGCAAGGAUCGUCCUAGGGUAAAACUGGUGACUGGGGC